UACAGAUUAUAGUUACCGAUUAUAGUAGAAACCUAUAUUUAGGUUAGUAAUGUUUCCUAGAUAUGCAAAGAUGUAUUUGAGAUAGAUAAAUAACCUUCAACCAUCUCAAAGACCUUCAGAAAAUGUCAUUAAAAUUGGUUUAGGUUUUUUCACAAUAGUGGUACACAACUGCUCCUGACACACCAAUUAUGUCUGAGAGUAUGAUUGGCAUCGAAGAAAGUCAUUUCGGGGUUUACCUUCACCAUGGGAAAGCAGCCAUUUGGGUAAGAAUGUGCUCUUUCCUGGACUGUUUGACUGUUGCUGUAUAAUCAGGAAAUGCAGUAUCCAAAGGAAACAGAAUGCUGAACAUAAUGGGUUAGUUCUAAAGGGUUGCUACUUCAUAGAAGAUUCUGUCAGGCAUUCUGCUUCACACAGAAAAGAUGACUGACAAACUGGCAAUCCAAUUGAACAGUUUAAAAUUUCCUAUUUUGCUGAGAAGUCUGCCAGACACAUUGUGACCUAUUGGUUGAAUAUGGAUUCUCCAACGUUACAGAGGGUCUUCAAGUGACUGUACAGAUAGGAAGACUGCAGCAGCUGCAGGACAUGCAUGGAAAACCUUGACAAUUUGGCUGCAGGAGUCCAGUUUUCUAAGAUCCUACAGGGACCAUCUGAACCCUAAACCGAAUUUGUGGACUCGCUCUUACAACUUGUGGGUUGUAUAUUUGGGGAUAAUGAUAACGCCAUUCCUUUGGUGCCAAAAUUGGAGGUCCCACCAAGAUCCAGAGAGACUUGGAAGGACUGGGAAAAAUCAGCCAGAAAGAAGAAUCUGGAGAGGAGAGACUCAAGAAGAAACGAUUUGAAAACAGAAAAUAAAAGCAGUGGGUUCCUUGCAGACUAGUGUGGUUUGAUGAAGCAAGCCCACCUUAAGCAGUGGCCCAUGUGAUCCAACAUCUAAAACACCUGAGAUGAUGCAGCCUUGAAGACUACAAAACCAAGGACUUCAACAGUUUUUUUUUCAUAAUACCCCUGGCAUUUCAGUGCUCCUUAACAGCAGGAAGUAGUUUGGAAGAACAACACUCACAUUCCCAAAUAUUGUUUUAAAAUGUUUGUUUACAUUUA
Mesocricetus auratus (golden hamster) is the source of this 1098-nucleotide long non-coding RNA. RefSeq lists it as uncharacterized. The transcript is spliced from 4 exons. Lineage: Eukaryota; Metazoa; Chordata; Mammalia; Rodentia; Cricetidae. The record is from RefSeq and is a predicted model, not a curated record.